This 426-nucleotide ribosomal RNA is filed under the name uncultured bacterium. Its description in RNAcentral is "bacterial LSU rRNA". It matches the Rfam family "Bacterial large subunit ribosomal RNA", at positions 1 to 509 of the family's 2925-position model. The record is from RNAcentral.
CCGGGAAGAUCCUACCGAAGUGGGGCCAACCCGCGCGAGGGACCUACUCGCCAGGUCGGCGGUAGAAUACAUACGCCGUCAGACACGACCAACGCCGAAGGGAACUAGAAAACAUUCUUAGUACCUGGACGAAAAGAAAUCAAAAGAGACUCCCCAAGUAGUGGCGAGCGAACGGGGACCAGCCUAAACCCGUGGAGGUCAAACUCCCCGGGGGUCGUGGGGUCUGCGAUGUGGGACUCGAGAAGCUAGACGAACGGCAUGGAAAGGCCGGCCAUAGCGGGUGACAGCCCCGUAGUCGAAAGCGGACAGAGCCCUAGCGGAUACCCGAGUACCGCAGGACACGAGAAAUCCGGCGGGAAUCUGGGAGGACCAUCUUCCAAGGCUAAGUACUCCUGACUGACCGAUAGUGAACUAGUACCGCGAGGG